Molecule: long non-coding RNA, 372 nt
Organism: Panicum virgatum (switchgrass)
Lineage: Eukaryota; Viridiplantae; Streptophyta; Magnoliopsida; Poales; Poaceae
Exons: 2
Source: RefSeq, a predicted model, not a curated record
CAAGGCGGUUGUUUUCUAGCCUAGAGUGUCACGUGACCAUUUAGACAGGUGUCCUCAAGCAGUAUGCCAAAAUACAUAAUCCUAUGGAAACUUUUGUUCAGGAGAAGGCGAAGACCACCCAUGAGAACACAAGAGGUGUAAAGACUGCAGGAGGAACUAUUCAACAAGAACAAGGAGUCAAGCUUCGACAUGGAAAAUCUGCAGAGCGUGAAUCAGCUACUCUCUCGCAAGAAUCACCAGCUGAGAAGGCGAGGAUAUGGUGGCCAUUUCCGUGCCCAGCUCCCAUAGAGAAUCAAAAUUAGAUGGAGCUCUACCAAACAUGCCCUUAAUAUUGUGUGCACUUCAUGUCCUGAUUCAGUCCUGCGUUUGGGA